CGAAAGUUAGAGGCUCGAAGGCGAUCAGAUACCGCCCUAGUUCUAACCAUAAACGAUGCCAGCCAGCGAUCCGGCUGUGUUCCUCAAAUGACACGCCGGGCAGCUUCCGGGAAACCAAAGCUUUUGGGUUCCGGGGGAAGUAUGGUUGCAAAGCUGAAACUUAAAGGAAUUGACGGAAGGCCACACAAGGUGUGGAGCCUGCGGCUUAAUUUGACUCAACACGCGAAAACUCACCUGGCCCGGACACAGGAAGGAUUGACAGAUUGAGAGCUCUUUCUUGAUUCUGUGGGUGGUGGUGCAUGGCCGCUCUUAGUUGGUGGAGCGAUUUGUCUGGUUAAUUCCGUUAACGAACGAGACUCUAGCCUGCUAAAUAGACGUUCCGAUCCUCCGAGUCGGACGUUCUUCUUAGAGGGACGGGCGGCGUUUAGCCGCACGAAACAGAGCAAUAGCAGGUCUGUGAUGCCCUUUGAUGUCCGGGGCCGCACGCGCGCUACAUUGAAGGAACCAGCGUGUGCUUUCCCUGUCCGACAGGACUGGGUAACCCGUUGAACCUCCUUCGUGCUGGGGAUAGCAAAUUGUAAUUGUUUUGCUUGAACGAGGAACACCUAGUAAGCGUGAGUCAUCAGCUCAUGUUGAUUAUGUCCCUGGCCUUUGUUCACACCGCCCGUCGCUACUACCGAUUGAAUGAUUUAGUGAGGUCUUCGGACUGGCGCUCGGAUUGGCUUUCGGGUCGAGCCGACGUGCCGGAAAGAUGACCAAACUUGAUCAUUUAGAGGAAGUAAAAGUCGUAACAAGG
RNAcentral lists this ribosomal RNA (796 nucleotides) under Linyphia triangularis. RNAcentral describes it as "SSU rRNA". It matches the Rfam family "Eukaryotic small subunit ribosomal RNA", at positions 984 to 1799 of the family's 1831-position model. The record is from RNAcentral. Lineage: Eukaryota; Metazoa; Arthropoda; Arachnida; Araneae; Linyphiidae.